This 702-nucleotide ribosomal RNA is filed under the name Pectobacterium carotovorum subsp. carotovorum. RNAcentral's name for it is "bacterial SSU rRNA". It matches the Rfam family "Bacterial small subunit ribosomal RNA", at positions 82 to 781 of the family's 1533-position model. Lineage: Bacteria; Pseudomonadati; Pseudomonadota; Gammaproteobacteria; Enterobacterales; Pectobacteriaceae. The record is from RNAcentral.
CCUACAUUGACGAGCGGCGGACGGGUGAGUAAUGUCUGGGAAACUGCCUGAUGGAGGGGGAUAACUACUGGAAACGGUAGCUAAUACCGCAUAACGUCUUCGGACCAAAGAGGGGGACCUUCGGGCCUCUUGCCAUCAGAUGUGCCCAGAUGGGAUUAGCUAGUAGGUGAGGUAAUGGCUCACCUAGGCGACGAUCCCUAGCUGGUCUGAGAGGAUGACCAGCCACACUGGAACUGAGACACGGUCCAGACUCCUACGGGAGGCAGCAGUGGGGAAUAUUGCACAAUGGGCGCAAGCCUGAUGCAGCCAUGCCGCGUGUGUGAAGAAGGCCUUCGGGUUGUAAAGCACUUUCAGCGGGGAGGAAGGCGGUGAGGUUAAUAACCUCAUCGAUUGACGUUACCCGCAGAAGAAGCACCGGCUAACUCCGUGCCAGCAGCCGCGGUAAUACGGAGGGUGCAAGCGUUAAUCGGAAUGACUGGGCGUAAAGCGCACGCAGGCGGUUUGUUAAGUCAGAUGUGAAAUCCCCGAGCUUAACUUGGGAACUGCAUUUGAAACUGGCAAGCUAGAGUCUUGUAGAGGGGGGUAGAAUUCCAGGUGUAGCGGUGAAAUGCGUAGAGACUGGAGGAAUACCGGUGGCGAAGGCGGCCCCCUGGACAAAGACUGACGCUCAGGUGCGAAAGCGUGGGGAGCAAACAGGACCUA